Molecule: long non-coding RNA, 698 nt
Organism: Gallus gallus (chicken)
Lineage: Eukaryota; Metazoa; Chordata; Aves; Galliformes; Phasianidae
Source: Ensembl
CAAAGAACAAAGAUGGCAGCUGCUUUGUGGGGGAACAGAUUUGUGGCAAAUCGAGAUAAAAUAAAGAGGAAGGAGAAAGGAGUGUAUGGGAAAAAAUGCUGAGAAAAAGGGGCAAGUUGGGAAGGGGCGGGGGGGAGCAAGGCGGCUGUCAGCCUACAGAGCACUGUGCAGGAGGGAAAGCAGCGUGGGGGAAACAGAAAAGCUGGCGAACAUGAAAAAAACCAUUUCCAGGCUCCUGGAGUCAUGGGUGCAGAUAAGCAGAGACGUCGUGGCUAUGAGAGCCUCUCAGGGCAGAUGGAAGGAGAACGCCUCCGCUGUGGUCAGUCCCUGAAGACAAAGUGGAUGCUGCUGGCACACUGGAAUGACGGCACGGGUUUGCUGACGGUUUUGCAUGGGAGCAUCGGUUGGGUUUACACCUACAAGUGCUUGGCUAUGGCAGCGGGGCAUCCCAUGGAAAGGCCAAAAAGCAGCAGAGAGAUCCAGGGAAGGAGGAGAUGGCACACGCUGCAAGCCUGUUCUCUGUCAGCGACGCUGCUGGGAGCACGGACACCCAUAGUGGAGCCAGCAGCUGAGGACAGCUCACAGGAGAGGAAAAAAAUGGAGCCAAGGAUGGCACUGUCUCUUUAAAAAUAAAUAAAUAGAUAAAGACUAAAAAAAAAAAAAAGAAAGAAAAAAUGCAAUAAGUAUAUGCAAAUGUG